CCUACGGUAGGCAGCAGUGAGGAAUAUUGGUCAAUGGGCUUACGCCUGAACCAGCCAAGUCGCGUGAGGGAAGACUGCCCUAUGGGUUGUAAACUUCUUUUGUCAGGGAAGAGUAGAAGACGGUACCUGACGACUAAGCCUCGGCUAACUACGUGCCAGCCGCCGCGGUAAUACGUAGGUGGCAAGCGUUGUCCGGCUGUACUGGGUGUAAAGGGCGUGUAGCCGGGUUGACAAGUCAGAUGUGAAAUCCUGCGGCUUAACCGCAGAACUGCAUUUGAAACUGUUGAUCUUGAGUACUGGAGAGGCAGACGGAAUUACUAGUGUAGCGGUGAAAUGCGUAGAUAUUAGGAGGAACACCAGUGGCGAAGGCGGUCUGCUGGACAGCAACUGACGGUGAGGCGCGAAAGCGUGGGGAGCAAACAGGAUUAGAUACCCCGGUAGUC
Molecule: ribosomal RNA, 443 nt
Filed under: uncultured bacterium
Lineage: Bacteria
Description: partial 16S ribosomal RNA
Rfam family: Bacterial small subunit ribosomal RNA
Source: RNAcentral